Molecule: long non-coding RNA, 5879 nt
Organism: Cydia pomonella (codling moth)
Lineage: Eukaryota; Metazoa; Arthropoda; Insecta; Lepidoptera; Tortricidae
Exons: 3
Source: RefSeq, a predicted model, not a curated record
UUUCAACUUUACCUAUACGCUUUUAGCUAUAUUGAGUGGACAAAACUUACCGGAGCGGUAGGUCAGUCUGUGCGUUCAGUCCGUUGCAUUUUGCGCAUCCAUGUCGUGUUCCUGCGUUGUGCUAGGACACAGGCACUUUGUUUUCGUUGUGGUAUAUACAUUUCACAAUUGAAACACCUUUUAAAACAUAGAAAUACCACGUAUUAACAGUAUGAUUUCGAUAAAACCGAGCAGUUGUUUAUUUCAGCGGUAGACACUGACGGCUGUCAAUGUCAUUUGGUUUUUUUGUCCAUGGUUCCGUAACAGAUGGUCGGUCACACUUGUUGUACGACAAUAAACAUAUACUUGUGGUUCUUUUAUCUUUUUAUAAUUUCCAAUUAUUAAUAAAGUCCGUAUUAUUUGCUUCCCAAAAUGAGUAACUCUUUUUAUUGUUGAUGUUUCGAAUUAUUCCGAGGGUCAAACCGGUCAGUCGCCGUAUCCAUUGAAUGGGUAGGUUUUCAUUCAUCAGUUUGUCUAUGGUUUCUCGGAUUGGAAUUUUGAUAAAUCAUUGUUCGAUCGAUCUUCAAGAUGUGAAGGAUAUUAGAAAAUCUUUCGGCAAUCAAUCUUAGGGGUAUGUAACCUACUUGAAGGUUUUAUUUCCUAAAACUGUGGUAAAUUCAAGUUAGUAAUCGUUAAUGUAAUUUUGUUACAGCUCGUCCCAAAAUGUGCAUAAUUUAGCGUCUUAGAGCCUACCUAAAAUGGCGGCUGCUAAUCUUUUUCCUUCAAUUUAACAUAACUUGCAAAACCUAAUGUAACGUCAACCACCUCUUCGUUUUGUCACGCGGUCUGCAGGCGCCGUCGUUGGUAUAGGAAAUAAUGGACCCGGCAUAAACCCCGGUAAGUCGUUUAAUCGCUUCAUUGCCGUAAUUUAAAUCGCGCUGUGCCUCAGUUUAAAAUAUAAUUUUUCUAUAAAACUAAACGUGUUAAAACAUAAUUUUUUUUAACCUAGAACAUUCUCUUUGUUCUUAGGGUUUUUUUCUGGACCCUGGUUUUUUCCUGGACCCUGGUUUUUUCUGGACCCUGGUUUUCUAAGGCUGUGCCAUCCGGUGGCAGCGUUCUUCUUGGCAGUGUCCGUGAAGUUAAGACUUUUAUGAUAUACCUUUAGUUAAAUAUGGACCCUUUAUGCUGAACAGGUAACCUGUAAUCCCUGUGAGCAAUUGCUUACUGCUAAACAUCCCCGGAGGUUGGGGCAUAACUUUUACUGUAGACAGUGUUAUGUUAGUAAGACAAAUUUUGAUAUUGUUGUCCGUAGACACAGAGAUGCCUAUGAUGUAUUAAGUGUAAAUUUCAAGAAAUAGUGUUGUCACUAAGAAGUAUUUAGUAUUACUUAUUUACUAAUAAUAACUCGUGUUGACCGUAGCGGGUCAUAUAUAUUUUAGGAAUAAAGGUGUAUAUUAAAUAAAUUUGGGAUUUUCAUUUGGAUAUGUCAUGCGCUUGAUGAGAGUAGUAUCCUGGCGUCCUACCUUAAAUUUUUGGAUACCUAUUCUCACUCCAUAGUGGCCUGAACCACGACCCUAUCUAUGAUUGUAGUUAGCCGAAGGUAUUUGUGAACUUUUCAGUAGUGAAGUUUGGUGAGUUCUGGAUCACUCCAUAGAAACACGUUUCCUUCUAUGGAAACGGUCUUUAACAAUAAUAGAAUCAGAUCUUCUCCAUAUCCAGGGCUCACCCACACCUAUUACAGUGGUAUGCCCAACGUAUGGCCUAUGGAGUAUGACAUGUCCAAGUGAAACAUUUUUGCAUUAUUUUAGUAUUAAGGUUAUUUUAUGUAAAAGGGAUUGCAAGUUAUUGUUUUAAAUUGUUGCUUGAGUUGGAGGUUAAACUUAUAAAUUUAACCAACUUAUAAAUAAAACUAUACUACGCUAAAUAAUUAGCCUUACAUAAGAGAAAUUUUCUCACUAUUUUAAAAUACUUUAAAAGGGUUAAAAUCUAAUAAAGUUUUAACUUACUUUAAAAUAUUACAAUUCAAAACUUGACACUGACUUACUUCUGAUAUUAAAUAUCAAUCUUAAAAAAUGGAUUUCCUAAAUGCGGGAUGUAAAAUCAUACAUUUACAUAAAGACGAAAUGGCACAUGAACUGGCGAUUCGCAGACUUCCGGUUAAUCCUGUAUCGCGUCGGUCCAGCUUAUGUCAUGCGUUAAAACAGACUGCAGAUUUAGCCAAAAAGGGUAGUUUGAAGUGCCAGGACUUGUUAAUAAGUAACGAAGUUGCCGAAUUGGAGCUCUGCCAACGUAAGGUAGAGGAAAUAGAUUUAGAAGCGAAAGGAGACUUAACGGCGUCGGCGAUUGAUAGACUAUCCUCGCGAUGCAAAUAUCUGUUGUGUCGUGUUUCACGGUUACCUCAGGAAACCGAAGCGGUACUUCUGUUGAAAACAUUAAUUACUUCUUUAUUAGAUCGGUUGAAUGAGCAAGGCUCUUCUGCGUCGUCUGGGUCAGAUGAUGAUUUUCAAUCUCCUAACGAAUCUCGUUUUGUUAGGGAAAUUAUAUAUAAAGCGGGUGUCUGAAUAACCUACUCUUUUUCCCAACUUUAAGAUUGAAAAUGAUAAACUCUUCCGUUACUCUAAGAAUAAGUAUCGUCUGACAGCUCAAUUUGACUGGAAGCUGGUACUUCCUUAUGAGCAUCGUAAUGAAGUCCUAAAUAAGUGUCAUGAUGAUCCUACAGCAGGUCAUUUUGGCGUGGGUAAAACUCAUUCCAAAAUAGCCGACAUAUAUUAUUGGCCUACUUUAUUUCAGGACGUGAAGGAAUACGUCGACUCUUGUGAAAUUUGUAAAACUUAUAAACCUGUUAACUUAGCUCGUCCUGGUUUGAUGGGUAAUCCACGACGUGUAUCGUCGCCAGGCGAAGCAAUAUCUUGUGAUAUUCUUGGUCCCUUUCCUCCAUCUUAUCUGAGAAAUCAGUAUCUCUUCGUAUGUGCUGAUUAUUUCAGUAAGUAUGUGACUUUGUUUCCACUACGCAACAUAACUGCUAAAGCUAUUGUUAAGUGUAUGGAAAAAGGGAUAUUCCUUAUACAUGGGGUUCCUAAAUAUAUAUUCUGCGACAAUGGUGUUCAAUUUACUUCCAAAGACUUUCGAGACCUAAUGUCCAAAUAUGAUGUCCCUCAUAUUUUCUAUAACCCUAGGUAUCAUCCUCAGACGAAUCAAACGGAACGAGUGAACCGUGAACUAGUAAGAACCAUUGCCUCAUACGUGCGUUCUGAUCACCGUAACUGGGAUAAGAACGUAUCGGAAAUACAAUGUGCAUUGAAUACAGCUCGUCACGGAGUAACUAAAAAUACACCGUAUUUCCUAACACAUGGUCGUCAAAUGAUUCUAGAUGGUUCCCUUUAUAAUAGCGAAGGUCCCAUAGAUCAAAACGCGCUCGAAUUAGAUACCAGUGGUGCUUUUUCUGAAAGACUUAAAGAGCUCAAAACUGUAUUUCAAAAAGUGCGUAACUCGUUGAUUGCCUCCCAUGAACGUAAUGCUAGGUAUUAUAACAUGAGGAAGCGUCACGUAGAACUGGAAGAAGGACAAAUCGUUUAUAAAAGAUGUUUCCCAUUGUCAAAUGCAGCAAAACAUUUUUCUGCUAAAUUAGCGCCCCGUUAUGACAAAUGUGUCAUUCAUAAAAAAUUGAGUCCUCUUGUUUACUCUUUAAAAUCCUUAGAAGGAAAACUUCUAGGUAACUUCCAUAUAAAAGACAUUGUACGUCCUGGUGAAGCCGAGCCGUCUUCCUAGCGGUACUCGUCUUAACACCAAUUGGAUACUUACACUUGAGAAUAUCCUAUGUGAUACUAAAUAUUGAACGUACCUACUAAACUGAAGGCGACCUGGCACAAGCUGGUUUUCAUCAGACUGGGUAUUUGUUCCAUGUUUUUGUUUUUAUUGGUACCGGGUGCACACGGACCAACAUUAAUCUUUCAUGUGUCCUUAUAAAGACAUAAAACUUUAAAUAAUCUGAAUAAACUGCAGAAACUUACUUUACUUAUAAACCCUAAACGGGCCUAUUACAUGAAAUAUUAUUAAUUAUUGAAAAAGGGACUACGUUCUCGCUAAACUGUACUGUAACUGAACUUUUGUUUGUAAUUUUAGGAAUUGUGUAAUAGCUAGAGAAUGUAGCUUGUUACAUAUUUCCACUACUGUCGGUGAUAGGCAAUUUCUUUAAUAAAGGGAAGGUUGUUAACGUUGCCGUCUUUGACGUUUUCUUUUAGGUUUAGGAAAGCGCGCACUAGGAAUAAGAAGGUUCGAACCAAAAUUAGUCAUUAGAUUUCCUUGGUCGAACUGAUCAUUCACCAAGUCAUAGGUAUAACUUUGGUUGUAAGACUUGUUUUUCUUUAUAGAUUAUCUAUGGUUUCUUAUUUACGUUUCGUAGGUUAAGGUGUUCACUUCCUAUUGGGCGUAUAGCAUUAAAAAAAAAAUUUUUUUUGAAAAAAAAAAUUUUUUUUAACCCAACUAAAGAUGAACUGUAACACUUUGGGGUAUCCACCCAGUGUUAUAAACAGCUGAGUAGCAUAUUAUAUAGGUACUUUAUAGGUUAGAAAAUGGUAUGUUUGUUUUGGUAAGAUUUGGUAGUUGAAAUGUCUUCGACACGGAUGUCAUAGUGGGUCAGUCAAGGACUGAGACCUGUAGUGAUAUUUUCAACUUUACCUAUACGCUUUUAGCUAUAUUGAGUGGACAAAACUUACCGGAGCGGUAGGUCAGUCUGUGCGUUCAGUCCGUUGCAUUUUGCGCAUCCAUGUCGUGUUCCUGCGUUGUGCUAGGACACAGGCACUUUGUUUUCGUUGUGGUAUAUACAUUUCACAAUUGAAACACCUUUUAAAACAUAGAAAUACCACGUAUUAACAGUAUGAUUUCGAUAAAACCGAGCAGUUGUUUAUUUCAGCGGUAGACACUGACGGCUGUCAAUGUCAUUUGGUUUUUUUGUCCAUGGUUCCGUAACAGAUGGUCGGUCACACUUGUUGUACGACAAUAAACAUAUACUUGUGGUUCUUUUAUCUUUUUAUAAUUUCCAAUUAUUAAUAAAGUCCGUAUUAUUUGCUUCCCAAAAUGAGUAACUCUUUUUAUUGUUGAUGUUUCGAAUUAUUCCGAGGGUCAAACCGGUCAGUCGCCGUAUCCAUUGAAUGGGUAGGUUUUCAUUCAUCAGUUUGUCUAUGGUUUCUCGGAUUGGAAUUUUGAUAAAUCAUUGUUCGAUCGAUCUUCAAGAUGUGAAGGAUAUUAGAAAAUCUUUCGGCAAUCAAUCUUAGGGGUAUGUAACCUACUUGAAGGUUUUAUUUCCUAAAACUGUGGUAAAUUCAAGUUAGUAAUCGUUAAUGUAAUUUUGUUACAGCUCGUCCCAAAAUGUGCAUAAUUUAGCGUCUUAGAGCCUACCUAAAAUGGCGGCUGCUAAUCUUUUUCCUUCAAUUUAACAUAACUUGCAAAACCUAAUGUAACGUCAACCACCUCUUCGUUUUGUCACGCGGUCUGCAGGCGCCGUCGUUGGUAUAGGAAAUAAUGGACCCGGCAUAAACCCCGGUAAGUCGUUUAAUCGCUUCAUUGCCGUAAUUUAAAUCGCGCUGUGCCUCAGUUUAAAAUAUAAUUUUUCUAUAAAACUAAACGUGUUAAAACAUAAUUUUUUUUAACCUAGAACAUUCUCUUUGUUCUUAGGGUUUUUUUCUGGACCCUGGUUUUUUCCUGGACCCUGGUUUUUUCUGGACCCUGGUUUUCUAAGGCUGUGCCAUCCGGUGGCAGCGUUCUUCUUGGCAGUGUCCGUGAAGUUAAGACUUUUAUGAUAUACCUUUAGUUAAAUAUGGACCCUUUAUGCUGAACAGGUAACCUGUAAUCCCUGUGAGCAAUUGCUUACUGCUAAACAUCCCCGGAGGUUGGGGCAUAAC